This 454-nucleotide ribosomal RNA is filed under the name uncultured bacterium. Its description in RNAcentral is "bacterial SSU rRNA". It matches the Rfam family "Bacterial small subunit ribosomal RNA", at positions 28 to 474 of the family's 1533-position model. The record is from RNAcentral.
GAUGAACGCUAGCGGCAGGCUUAACACAUGCAAGUCGAGGGGCAGCAUGGGAGUAGCAAUACUUCUGAUGGCGACCGGCGCACGGGUGCGUAACGCGUAUGCAACCUACCUGUAACAGGGGGAUAACACUGAGAAAUCGGUACUAAUACCGCAUAACACUAUGAGAGGCAUCUCUUGUGGUUGAAAGUUUCGGCGGUUACAGAUGGGCAUGCGUUGUAUUAGCUGGUUGGUAAGGUAACGGCUUACCAAGGCGACGAUACAUAGGGGGACUGAGAGGUUAACCCCCCACAUUGGUACUGAGACACGGACCAAACUCCUACGGGAGGCAGCAGUGAGGAAUAUUGGUCAAUGGACGGAAGUCUGAACCAGCCAUGCCGCGUGCAGGAAGACGGCUCUAUGAGUUGUAAACUGCUUUUGUACAAGGGUAAACCUGAAUACGUGUAUUCAGCUGAAA